GCUUGUUGGUGAGGUAAUGGCUCACCAAGGCGACGACGGGUAGCCGGCCUGAGAGGGUGACCGGCCACACUGGGACUGAGACACGGCCCAGACUCCUACGGGAGGCAGCAGUGGGGAAUAUUGCACAAUGGGCGAAAGCCUGAUGCAGCGACGCCGCGUGAGGGAUGACGGCCUUCGGGUUGUAAACCUCUUUCAGUAGGGAACAAGGCUACACGUUGUGUGGUUGAGGGUACUUGCAGAAGAAGCACCGGCUAACUACGUGCCAGCAGCCGCGGUAAUACGUAGGGUGCAAGCGUUAUCCGGAAUUAUUGGGCGUAAAGAGCUCGUAGGCGGUUUGUCGCGUCUGCCGUGAAAGUCCGGGGCUCAACCCCGGAUCUGCGGUGGGUACGGGCAGACUAGAGUGAUGUAGGGGAGACUGGAAUUCCUGGUGUAGCGGUGAAAUGCGCAGAUAUCAGGAGGAACACCGAUGGCGAAGGCAGGUCUCUGGGCAUUAACUGACGCUGAGGAGCGAAAGCAUGGGGAGCGAACAGGAUUAGAUACCCUGGUAGUCCAUGCCGUAAACGUUGGGCACUAGGUGUGGGGGACAUUCCACGUUUUUCCGCGCCGUAGCUAACGCAUUAAGUGCCCCGCCUGGGUGAGUACGGCCGCAAGGCUAAAACUCAAAGGAAUUGACGGGGGCCCGCACAAGCGGCGGAGCAUGCGGAUUAAUUCGAUGCAACGCGAAGAACCUUACCAAGGGCUUGACAUGAACCUGGAAACGCUUGGAAACAAGUGCCCCGCUUGCGGCCGGUUUACAGGUGGUGCAUGGUUGUCGUCAGCUCGUGUCGUGAGAUGUUGGGUUAAGUCCCGCAACGAGCGCAACCCUCGUUCUAUGUUGCCAGCACGUGAUGGUGGGGACUCAUAGGAGACUGCCGGGGUCAACUCGGAGGAAGGUGAGGACGACGUCAAAUCAUCAUGCCCCUUAUGUCUUGGGCUUCACGCAUGCUACAAUGGCCGGUACAAUGGGUUGCGAUACUGUGAGGUGGAGCUAAUC
Molecule: ribosomal RNA, 1033 nt
Filed under: Arthrobacter sp.
Lineage: Bacteria; Bacillati; Actinomycetota; Actinomycetes; Micrococcales; Micrococcaceae
Description: bacterial SSU rRNA
Rfam family: Bacterial small subunit ribosomal RNA
Source: RNAcentral